RNAcentral lists this ribosomal RNA (264 nucleotides) under uncultured bacterium. RNAcentral describes it as "partial 16S ribosomal RNA". It matches the Rfam family "Bacterial small subunit ribosomal RNA", at positions 57 to 305 of the family's 1533-position model. The record is from RNAcentral.
GCAAGUCGAACGCGAACGAGUUCUUCGGAACUUUAGUAGAGUGGCGCACGGGUGAGUAACGCGUAAGUAAUCUACCCUCGCAUCUGGGAUAACCCACCGAAAGGUGUGCUAAUACCGGAUACGUCUAAGUUAAUAUCUUUUUUUUAGAGAAAGGUGGCCUCUGAUUCAAGCUACUGUGCGGGGAGGAGCUUGCGUACCAUUAGCUAGUUGGUAGGGUAACGGCCUACCAAGACGAUGAUGCAUAGCCGACCUGAGAGGGUGAUC